CGCGUAGGCGGUUAUUUAAGUCUGGGGUGAAAGGUUCAGCGCUCAACGUGAACAGUGCCUUGGAUACUGGAUGACUUGAGUCUGGGAGGGGGAAGGGGAAUUCCUGGUGUAGCGGUGAAAUGCGUAGAUAUCAGGAGGAACACCGGUGGCGAAGGCGCCUUCCUGGCCUAAGACUGACGCUGAGGUGCGAAAGCGUGGGGAGCAAACG
This 208-nucleotide ribosomal RNA is filed under the name uncultured bacterium. Its description in RNAcentral is "partial 16S ribosomal RNA". It matches the Rfam family "Bacterial small subunit ribosomal RNA", at positions 568 to 774 of the family's 1533-position model. The record is from RNAcentral.